UAGUGCUACAGUUCUUUUAGAAUUUGUCUAGCAGGGCCAGGCAUGGUGGCUCAUGCCUGUAAUCCCAG
This is a small nuclear RNA of Gorilla gorilla gorilla (western lowland gorilla), 68 nucleotides long. Its record names the gene U7. It matches the Rfam family "U7 small nuclear RNA". Rfam says of the family: Animal histone pre-mRNAs are spliced by a different mechanism than nuclear pre-mRNAs and self-splicing introns. The record is from Ensembl. NCBI's taxonomy places the organism in Eukaryota, Metazoa, Chordata, Mammalia, Primates, Hominidae.